UGCCACUCUAUGCCAAUAUAAGGGCAGAAGAAAACUGCAAUCACAUGUCCUCAGCCCACACACAAGAGAAGAAACAUCCAUCACUUGGGUUGUACAAAGAGUUAGUGAAUAGCAUCAAAGCUGAUACCAAAUUGUGCUGGCAAGGAACGCUUGUAAGCACCAGAAACAGCAACGGCAGUUUCUGACAGCUUGUUCUUCAUCUCUGAAAUUUUGGCUUCCAUAUGUUCCUUGUAUUUUGAGACUGCAUCAACCACUUCAAAGAGUUCUCGUGCAUGCAUUUGAAUUUCUUCUUCACUUCUUUUAACUGCUUCCUGCAACUUUAGUUCGGAGUCCUUCAGAAUCUCUGCUGCUUCUCUUUCCAAAAUAUCCAAGUUAUGAGCCUCCAUUUGAACAUCCUGCACCAGCUUUUUAGCUUCUGCUGCACAUCUGUUGGUGUACUCCUCUGUUUCUUUCCUCAAAGAGUUCAACUGAGCUUCAACUUCAUCAACAUGAGAUUGAAGCUCAGCGAUGCGAUUUUUUUUGCCCUCAAUCUUAGCAGUCAAUUCUGAUGAUUCUUGUUGAAGUGAAAUCAACUCUUCCAGUUUUGCCAUAGAAUUUUUCUUUAUGUCAUCAGCAAAGGAUUCAAGUCCAGGCUUCGUAGUCAAUUCCCAUAACUUCAGCAGAUGUAGAACCCUCAGCAUUUAACACAUACUGAAAACCAUUUCCAAGUUUUAAUCUCCUAGCAGCCUGGUUACAUUCCAUGGAAAGUGCUUCAAGCUCCUUAAACUUAUGUCCAAUUGCUGCAUCAAGAUCCCACAUCUUCUCCUCCCAUGAAUUCCUUGCAGCCUCAGCCUCUCCAAUAUCUCUCUCCACUGCCUGCAAUUCCCUCUUCAUCCUCUCUGCAUCCCUCGCAUUAAAACUCUGUUCAUCCACCCUCUUCUUCAAAUCCUCAUUCUCCUCGUCAAUCCUCUUCCUCUCCUCCACUUUAGCCUCCAAUUCUUUUCUUUUCUCCUCCAACAGCUUCUCCAUACCCUCAAUCCUCUGAUUGAACUCUGCAAUCAUCGCAUGGAACUUUUUCACAUCCUCCUCUAACACACUUUUCUCUUUCUCUAGCUUCUCUAUCUCCGUAGGCCCCUUCCUCAUCGCCUCCGCUUUCGCCGAAAGUUGGUUAAAAUUUGCCUCCAAAUCCCUAACACUUUCAAGCACACUAUCCCUUUCUCUCUCCAGCUUCUCCAUGAACUCUCUAUCCAAUGUCUCCACUGAAUCAUCAUCCCCACGAAUAUAACUCAAAUAACUGUUAAAUGCAUACACGAGCAUACUAUUACUUUCCACAAAAGCCCUCGAAUUUGCUGCUAAGUGCUCCUGAUACAUCGCAAUCUGAAUUAGCCAGUGAAUUACUGCAAGAAAUGAAGGCCAGUUAUGAGGAGUAUUAGGGGCACGAAGAGUAGAUCUGAUGACCUUGAAGGGGCAAUUCAGGGACUUCAAAAUUAUGAAAAGAUCAUCCUCGAGCUUCGUAGAAGGAUAAUCCAGUCGGUGGAGAAGGAACUGGAGGACUUCGGUGAUCUCCUUAGCGGAGGAGAUAGGGUGCGUCCUCAACGAAAGAACUGACGAGUGAGAGGAGAGGUACGUAUUGAUUGAGCGAACUGCUGAGUUUUGGUGUGA
Molecule: unclassified non-coding RNA, 1641 nt
Filed under: Hevea brasiliensis (rubber tree)
Lineage: Eukaryota; Viridiplantae; Streptophyta; Magnoliopsida; Malpighiales; Euphorbiaceae
Source: RNAcentral